AGAGUUGAUCAUGGCUCAGGACGAACGCUGGCGGCGUGCUUAACACAUGCAAGUCGAACGGGGAUAUGCGAGCGGAAGGCUUCGGCCGGAAGGUUGCAUAUUCGAGUGGCGGACGGGUGAGUAACGCGUGAACAAUCUGUCCCAGACAGGGGGAUAACACUUGGAAACAGGUGCUAAUACCGCAUAAGACCACGGAGUCGCAUGGCACUGGGGUAAAAGGAGCAAUCCGGUUUGGGGUGAGUUCGCGUCCGAUUAGCCAGUUGGUGAGGUAACGGCCCACCAAAGCGACGAUCGGUAGCCGACCUGAGAGGGUGAUCGGCCACAUUGGAACUGAGAGACGGUCCAAACUCCUACGGGAGGCAGCAGUGGGGAAUAUUGGGCAAUGGGCGAAAGCCCUGACCCAGCAACGCCGCGUGAGUGAAGAAGGCCUUCGGGUUGUAAAGCUCUGUUAUAGGGGACGAAGGAAGUGACGGUACCCUAUAAGGAAGCCCCGGCUAACUACGUGCCAGCAGCGGC
RNAcentral lists this ribosomal RNA (516 nucleotides) under uncultured bacterium. RNAcentral describes it as "bacterial SSU rRNA". It matches the Rfam family "Bacterial small subunit ribosomal RNA", at positions 8 to 518 of the family's 1533-position model. The record is from RNAcentral.